AGGUCUACUUGCCAGCAACCCCCAAUUUUUACAGGUUGACCUCGGAUCAGGUAGGGAUACCCGCUGAACUUAAGCAUAUCAAUAAGCGGAGGAAAAGAAACCAACAGGGAUUACCUCAGUAACGGCGAGUGAAGCGGUAACAGCUCAAAUUUGAAAGCUAGCUCUUUUAGGGUUCGCAUUGUAAUUUGUAGAAGAUGCUUCGGGUGUGGCCCCGGUCUAAGUUCCUUGGAACAGGACGUCAUAGAGGGUGAGAAUCCCGUAUGUGACUGGGUGCUUUCGCUCAUGUGAAGCUCUUUCGACGAGUCGAGUUGUUUGGGAAUGCAGCUCAAAAUGGGUGGUAAAUUUCAUCUAAAGCUAAAUAUUGGCCAGAGACCGAUAGCGCACAAGUAGAGUGAUCGAAAGAUGAAAAGCACUUUGGAAAGAGAGUUAAACAGUACGUGAAAUUGUUGAAAGGGAAGCGCUUGCAACCAGACUUGCGCGCUGAUGAUCAUCCGGGCUUCUGCCCGGUGCACUCGUCUGCGCUCAGGCCAGCAUCGGUUUCGGUGGUGGGAUAAAGGCCUUGGGAAUGUAGCUCCUCUCGGGGAGUGUUAUAGCCCUCGGUGCAAUGCCGCCUACCGG
Molecule: ribosomal RNA, 618 nt
Filed under: Cadophora luteo-olivacea
Lineage: Eukaryota; Fungi; Ascomycota; Leotiomycetes; Helotiales; Ploettnerulaceae
Description: eukaryotic LSU rRNA
Rfam family: Eukaryotic large subunit ribosomal RNA
Source: RNAcentral